AUAUCAUUAAGCGGAGGAAAGAAACCAACCGGGAUUCCCCUAGUAGCGGCGAGCGAAGAGGGAAGAGCCCAAACUCCAAAUCUGAAAGUCCUUUGGCUUUCUGAAUUGUGGUCUCGUGACUUAGCAUUACUGAAGUUACUGGAUGAGUUAGAUCUCCUGGAAUGGAGUGCCGUAGAGGGUGAGAGCCCCGUACUGCAACUCAUCGCAGCGGCUUCGAUUGUCGAUGCUGGG
This 231-nucleotide ribosomal RNA is filed under the name uncultured eukaryote. RNAcentral describes it as "partial large subunit ribosomal RNA". It matches the Rfam family "Eukaryotic large subunit ribosomal RNA", at positions 40 to 262 of the family's 3401-position model. The record is from RNAcentral.